GACGAACGCUGGCGGCGUGCCUAAUACAUGCAAGUCGAGCGGACUUUCAAGAAGCUUGCUUUUUGAAAGUUAGCGGCGGACGGGUGAGUAACACGUGGGCAACCUGCCUGCAAGACGGGGAUAACUCCGGGAAACCGGGGCUAAUACCGGAUAAUAUCUUCCUUCGCAUGAAGCAAGGUUGAAAGGCGGCGCAAGCUGCCGCUUGCAGAUGGGCCCGCGGCGCAUUAGCUAGUUGGUGAGGUAACGGCUCACCAAGGCGACGAUGCGUAGCCGACCUGAGAGGGUGAUCGGCCACACUGGGACUGAGACACGGCCCAGACUCCUACGGGAGGCAGCAGUAGGGAAUCUUCCGCAAUGGACGAAAGUCUGACGGAGCAACGCCGCGUGAGCGAAGAAGGUCUUCGGAUCGUAAAGCUCUGUUGUCAGGGAAGAACAAGUACCGUUCGAACAGGGCGGUACCUUGACGGUACCUGACCAGAAAGCCACGGCUAACUACGUG
Molecule: ribosomal RNA, 499 nt
Filed under: uncultured bacterium
Lineage: Bacteria
Description: partial 16S ribosomal RNA
Rfam family: Bacterial small subunit ribosomal RNA
Source: RNAcentral